Molecule: ribosomal RNA, 914 nt
Filed under: uncultured archaeon
Lineage: Archaea
Description: bacterial SSU rRNA
Rfam family: Archaeal small subunit ribosomal RNA
Source: RNAcentral
UUCCGGUUGAUCCUGCCGGAGGCCACUGCUAUGGGAUCCGACUAAGCCAUGCGAGUCGAGAGGGUUCGGCCCUCGGCAGACUGCUCAGUAACACGUGGAUAACCUAACCUUAGGUGGAAGAUAACCUCGGGAAACUGAGAAUAAUAUUCCAUAGAUCUAGGAUGCUGGAAUGCAUCUAGAUUGAAAGUUCCGACGCCUAAGGAUGGGUCUGCGGACUAUCAGGUUGUAGUCAGGAUAAAGACCUGACUAGCCUACGACGGAUAUGGGUUGUGAGAGCAAUAGCCCAGAGACGAUAUCUGAGACACGAUAUCGGGCCCUACGGGGCGCAGCAGGCGCGAAAUCUUCACAAUGUGCGAAAGCACGAUGAGGGGAUCCCAAGUGCUGGCACGUAAGUGUCAGCUGUUUCUUAGUCUAAAAAACUGAGAGAGUAAGGGCUGGGUAAGACGGGUGCCAGCCGCCGCGGUAAUACCUGCAGCUCAAGUGGUGGCCGCUAUUAUUGGGCCUAAAACGUCCGUAGCCUGUUUAGUAAAUGCUUGGGUAAAUUGUGUAGCUUAACUAUACGAAUACCGGGUAGACUGCUAAACUUGGGACCGGGAGAGGCUAGAGGUACUCCUGGGGUAGAGGUGAAAUUUUGUAAUCCUAGGGGGACCACCAGUGGCGAAGGCGUCUAGCUAGAACGGGUCUGACGGUGAGGGACGAAGCCCUGGGGCGCAAACCGGAUUAGAUACCCGGGUAGUCCAGGGUGUAAACGCUGCUUGCUUGAUGUUAGUUGGGCUCCGAGCCCAACUAGUGUCGGAGAGAAGUUGUUAAGCAAGCUGCCUGGGAAGUACGGUCGCAAGACUGAAACUUAAAGGAAUUGGCGGGGGAGCACAGCAACGGGUGGAGCGUGCGGUUUAAUUGGAUUCAACGCCGGG